This 253-nucleotide ribosomal RNA is filed under the name uncultured bacterium. Its description in RNAcentral is "partial 16S ribosomal RNA". It matches the Rfam family "Bacterial small subunit ribosomal RNA", at positions 524 to 776 of the family's 1533-position model. The record is from RNAcentral.
UACGUAGGGUGCGAGCGUUGUCCGGAAUUACUGGGCGUAAAGAGCUCGUAGGUGGUUUGUCGCGUUGUUCGUGAAAACUCACAGCUCAACUGUGGGCGUGCGGGCGAUACGGGCAGACUAGAGUACUGCAGGGGAGACUGGAAUUCCUGGUGUAGCGGUGGAAUGCGCAGAUAUCAGGAGGAACACCGGUGGCGAAGGCGGGUCUCUGGGCAGUAACUGACGCUGAGGAGCGAAAGCGUGGGGAGCGAACAGG